UUGAACGCUGGCGGCAUGCUUUACACAUGCAAGUCGAACGGCAGCGCGGGCUUCGGCCUGGCGGCGAGUGGCGAACGGGUGAGUAAUACAUCGGAACGUGCCCAGUAGUGGGGGAUAGCUCGGCGAAAGCCGGAUUAAUACCGCAUACGACCUGAGGGUGAAAGCGGGGGAUCUUCGGACCUCGCGCUAUUGGAGCGGCCGAUGGCAGAUUAGCUAGUUGGUGGGGUAAAGGCCUACCAAGGCGACGAUCUGUAGCUGGUCUGAGAGGACGACCAGCCACACUGGGACUGAGACACGGCCCAGACUCCUAUGGGAGGCAGCAGUGGGGAAUUUUGGACAAUGGGCGAAAGCCUGAUCCAGCAAUGCCGCGUGUGUGAUGAAGGCCUUCGGGUUGUAAAGCACUUUUGGCGGGAACGAAAAGGACUGUGCCAAUACCACGGUUCGAUGACGGUACCCGCAGAAUAAGCACCGGCUAACUACGUG
This 483-nucleotide ribosomal RNA is filed under the name uncultured bacterium. RNAcentral describes it as "partial 16S ribosomal RNA". It matches the Rfam family "Bacterial small subunit ribosomal RNA", at positions 29 to 507 of the family's 1533-position model. The record is from RNAcentral.